AUUGAACGCUGGCGGCAGGCUUAACACAUGCAAGUCGAGCGGGGUGAUGGUGCUUGCACUAUCACUUAGCGGCGGACGGGUGAGUAAUGCUUAGGAAUCUGCCUAUUAGUGGGGGACAACAUCUCGAAAGGGAUGCUAAUACCGCAUACGUCCUACGGGAGAAAGCAGGGGAUCACUUGUGACCUUGCGCUAAUAGAUGAGCCUAAGUCGGAUUAGCUAGUUGGUGGGGUAAAGGCCGACCAAGGCGACGAUCUGUAGCGGGUCUGAGAGGAUGAUCAGCCACACUGGGACUGAGACACGGCCCAGACUGCUACGGGAGGCAGCAGUGGGGAAUAUUGGACAAGGGGGGGAACCCCGAUCCAGCCAUGCCGGGUGUGUGAAGAAGGCCUUAUGGUUGUAAAGCACUUUAAGCGAGGAGGAGGCUCUUUUGGUUAAUACCCAAGAUGAGUGGACGUUACUCGCAGAAUAAGCACCGGCUAACUCUGUGCCAGCAGCCGCCGUAA
Molecule: ribosomal RNA, 503 nt
Filed under: uncultured bacterium
Lineage: Bacteria
Description: partial 16S ribosomal RNA
Rfam family: Bacterial small subunit ribosomal RNA
Source: RNAcentral